GCUAAAAGAUGAAUUGAAAUUAAAAGACAAGCAUAUGUCUGAUUCUAAGGAAGAUACAUUUCAUGUCUGAUAGC
This 74-nucleotide small nucleolar RNA is filed under the name Clavispora lusitaniae ATCC 42720. Its description in RNAcentral is "Small nucleolar RNA SNORD27". It matches the Rfam family "Small nucleolar RNA SNORD27". Rfam says of the family: U27 is a member of the C/D class of snoRNA which contain the C (UGAUGA) and D (CUGA) box motifs. U27 is encoded within the U22 snoRNA host gene (UHG) in mammals and is thought to act as a 2'-O-ribose methylation guide for ribosomal RNA. This family also contains several related snoRNAs from yeast and plants. Lineage: Eukaryota; Fungi; Ascomycota; Pichiomycetes; Serinales; Metschnikowiaceae. The record is from Rfam by way of RNAcentral.